CCUUGGAAGCUGCUCAGUUCCUGUGGACUCUGCCUCCUUCCGGUCUGCUGCCCUGGUCCGGGCCCGGGCAGCUCCCUCGGCAUCUCCGGCAUGGACAGUAGUUUUCUAAUUGUCUCCCACUUCUUCUGCUGCAAAUCCCCGCACUCAGCCCUUCCUCCAGACUUCAAGCCCCACGGACUCAGGCUGUGCAUCCUAAGACCUCAGGAAGCCUUGUGGCGUCAUUUAACAAGCUGGAAUUCUGCACAGUGUGCAGAGUGAGCAGGGGUGGCUCCUGCGCAGGACGGCACCUCAGCCAGUUCCCAACACGCCAGCACGCUUACUUUCACAACUUUGCACACGUCUCUCUCAGCUGGAAACACCCCCUCCUCUGUUCCACCUGCUGACAACCCGGGCAUCCUGUGGCAUUCAGCUAAAACAUCCUGGCCCUGGGGAGGACCAGCUUGCCUGUCUUUAUCUCAGCAGCACUUAUGUGCUCUCCAGCCGUGGUCGUGUUUGAGACUGUGACGGGGAAAGAGACCCCCGAGGAAGCCUCGCCAGAGGAGCCCUGGACGAGACAGACCCCUGUUGUCAUCCAGCCCACCUCUACACACCACCUGUGAGGAAGGGCCCUGGCUGAGCUACACAUCUUAUCCAGGUUCUAAGUCAAGCGACUCUCCAACUUUCCGCCCAAUGCUGGGGGCACGAGCGAUCCCAGCAGCAGAGCCUCUGGCUCCUCAGCCACCACAGGCGAGUAGCACCUCCUUCAGGAUUUCGGGGCUCAGUCAUCUUGUAGGGAAGGUGCUGACUUGGGAAGGUGCAGGCCAGGAGUCAGCCUGUGGGGUGCCAGCCCCCUCCCUGCCGACCCUCUGGGGUGUACCGAUGGGCAGGGAGCAGGGGAUGGCUCUGGAGGGGCCAGGCAGCGGGGAAGGACGGCCUCUCUUCCCCUCCAGCUGUCAGCAGCAGGAGUGCCUGCGUGGCAGCUGCCGGGAAGUUUUGGAGAUGCAGGUCCUUAGUAAACCCUCAGGUCUCUGGAGAGAGUAAAAUCCAGGCCUUUCAGCAUAGGAUGCUCCAGCUAAUCUCACGGCCUAAUCCACUUAGAGCGCUGCUUUUAACUCCCAUUUGAAGGCCGGGAGCCCAGGCGGAGGCAGAUAAGCCCUCCCCACUUGGUAGGGGCUCAGCCACACUCCGAAGCUAACCUUGGCAAGGCUGUCCGGGGACAGAGCACGUCCUGAUGGGAUUCACUUCUUAGUCCUGGGGACCAAGCCCAGAGCACAGCUUCUCUGGGAGGCACGUCCCCGCGCUUUCUGCCCUUCCGUGGAAACCAGAGGGGCGCUCAGUUAUGGCCACUGCCAUCGCCCGGUCGGGAGCAGCCCAGAGACCUGGGACCAGCAGAAGAGAGGCCAUUGAGGGCACGGAACCUGCGGAACCACUGUGUGGAUGAGGAGAGCCACAGGCCUCUCAGGCUGACCGCGACCACGUGGUCAGAGGAAUAAUAAUCACACUCUGAAAAGAAACGGCUGGCUGGUUGGGGCUGCAAAGUUCUGGCAGAGGUUCAUUCAGACCCAGAGAGCAAGCCACCCUCUCCCGGGCCCUUCCCACAGGCGAGCGGAGCGCCUCUGAACCCGGCGCAGCCAAAAAACAAGUCAAUCAGCAACCGAAAAGAAAAUAAACCCCCAGGGCUCUGAUACCCAAAGACAAAACAGACCACGGCAGCGGGACCUUGACCCACAGGAAGCAGAGACGGCUCUGUAGGUCAUUUCCUCUUUGGUCCCACCUGACUUUUAAAUCCAUUUCCACUUUAAGAACUUGAGUAAUUUUAAGAAAGCGAAAUUACUAUUUCAGAUCCUUGAAGUCACCUUAGGGCAUGACCCUGCCUUCCCUUCCAAGGUCGCAGGUCCAGACAGCUCUUCUUUCCCUUCCUUUGUAAAAUACAGGCGUGUGUGCAGGAAGCCUGGGUGUCUCGCUCCAACCUUGAAAUCCAUAACCUCCGACUUUCCUCGGAACUCAGGUUGGUGCACUGGGUCACCCGUCACCCCGGGUGGCUUGGGCUCCACCGCGUGAAUGCGCCCUGCCAGGUCGGCUGCCUGAGCAGCGUGCGCCUGAGUGAGCCUCCGUCUGCCCGGCCUCAGUCUCUCCAUCCGGAGCAGCCUCUGGAGGGCACCCUCCUGAGCCACGCCACGCAGCCAGGAAGGUCUCCAGGUGCCAAACACACAGGCAAAGGACUCCUUUUCUUGUCUGAAGGACUCUGCAUGGGAGAAGUCGGAUUGACUGGAGCAGGUGACCAUCCUGGCCCCCGAAGAUGGACGUUUGACCCGCCAAAACUUUAUUUCAUUCACUUGAGUUUUUAGCAACCUGUGGAUUGUCAUUGUCCCCUGAGGAAGUCGCUGAGAAUCACUUUAGACUCAUCAGGAUAAGAAAGUCAGAUUGACCGAAAAUGCAAAGCUGUGGUUUGUUUAUCGACGCAGGAUCCCAGUCUCGUGUGGUUGGUGUACAACAGGAGAUCCCAAGCCACCUCUGCUCAGGCUGGCUUCCCCAGCGCAGUGCCUGGACCUGGCUGGGACUCAAGAGAUGCUCAUGAACUAAACUCAGGCCGCUGCUGGGUCAAAGGGGAGACAGAGUCCUGAGCAAAUUCUGUCACACGGAGCUCUGGAAUGGUGGGGCCCUUUCUUGGGCUCACUGCUCUUUGCGGGCAUCAAAACAUGCGUGGAUCAUUUUUGUUUUCCCAAGAACAUGGUUACAGUAUCCAGACACAAGAAAAUGUGCAUGGCCUCCUUACCUCACCGUGGAAGAGAGAAGACACCUCGUCCUCUUAUCCUUCUAUCCUUCUGAAUCUCCCUGGAAAGGCCCACUUUGUUGCGGUGCUGGAAUGUGGAGGAGGAAGCCAGAGAAGCAAGACAUCACACUCGGAACCCGGCUGGUGCAGCACCCUGGGUCUGACACCCUCUCUGGGUGGAUUUGUGCCUCGCUCUUCAGAGUUGAGGCCUCUGUCCUCUUCCCUGGGGGUCAAGAGCCACAGGGAGGUGUGAAGCCAAGAGCAGGCAGCCAGGGGUCCGAGGGCAGCCUGAGUAGAGGCUGACCCCAGUCUGCAGGAGGCGGGAGUGCUGUGACCCCUCUCCUCACAGAGCAGGGACUCUUCUGGAACUCUGCAGAGGCAAGCUUCCCCUUGAUCUCUGGCUGACACGCUGUCUCUUUCUCUCCUUCCCCAGCGCUGGGCCCCUCCCCAGGCCCAAAGGCCCAGAUACUUCUACUGGGGGCUCCUUCAUUUAUAUUUGCAUCAAGCGGCACAUUAAGGCUGUGGAUUGUUGGAAGAAUCUUUGGGCCAGGACUAGAGACGUGAUCACAUUUGUUCCCAAAAUGAGAGGGAGAACAGAAUCUCAGAGGGCAGACGGGAGGGGCCAACCUUAGGUGUCCCCAAGUUUCCAGGCUUGUCCUGGCUCAGUGGUCAUCCAGAACCACCCCGAGCCCAGGAAGUUUGAGCCACGUUCCUUGGGCUCACUGGCAGACGGUGCUGAGGGUGGAGAAAGACCCACAAGUCCCCUGGGAAGAGUGAGGGACUUUCCUGGAAGUGUGGGAACAGGUCCUGCUCCCCUUCCCACCCUUACCGACCUCAGCCCCACAAGCUCUGCAGCUCAGCUCUCAGGCUGGUGAGGAAUUUCCAGGUGGUGGAGCUUAGAGCUGCCUUGUCUGUUCAGCACACAUUGUCAGAAGAGAGGGGAGUAGUUUCCGGCUCAUUUCCAUGACUGAGCUAAAAGAAAACUGCUUAUUCGUAUUGACCACUUUCUCAGCUAUAGGACAUCUAAGAAAACAACACACCAUCCGAAACACAAUGCACUGGCUGAUUUAUUGGGAGCACACCACAAAUGGCCAAUAUCUGUGAGUCUGGGCUUCCUCGCUCUGCCUGAGGUCCAAGAAAUCAUGACCGUGUUUGUGUCCGCAUCUUCAUUCGGCUCUGCCACCAUUCCCGGUACUCCUCUGGUUCUCUAGAGAACGAACGCUUCCAGGAGCAGCCUCUGUUCUCUAGGUAAGCGCCACCGGCUUCUCCCCACUGCUGGGAACCAGGGCCUAAAACACAAGGCCAGGGAACUUUCCAUCACUAGCAAACAUCCACGGGCCGUCAGCUGAGGAGGAGGAGCAGUUUUUAUCCAGCUCAGAGUUCCGGAGGAUGCCGUCCUUGGUGGCUGGCCUGUGGUUCUGGGCCUGUGGAAAGGCAGGACAUCAGGGCUGGACGUGCAGGCAGAGAAAGCUGCCUAAGGUACCACCACCUCCCAGUAGAGCCACAGGCGGGGACAGCCUGCAGUCUGUGGCCCUCGGGGUCGCUUAUCCAACUGCAGCAAAUGCUGUGCAAAUGCUGCCGUUCACGUGACAGGCUGCGCUUUCCCGGGAAGCAGGAGCCGGUCCCAGGCCACGACCUUUCAGAUUCUCAGAAGUGGCCGUCGGAGCCCUGCUCGCCCGGCAGGGGCUCACCGCCUGUCCGUGUUCUCCUUGGAGUCGUUGGAAGCUUCACAGGACGCAGCAGAUUAACGAAUCGCUCGCUCUGACCUUCCUCUGGGCCUCGGUUUCAUCCCUUUUUAGAAUAAAUUACCCAAUGAGCUCCAAAUCAUGUUGGGGUUUUCAUAACUUUUGAUAGCUAACGUAUCUUCCUGGCCAUACCUACAGAUCACACAUACAUGGUACGAGCUAAACUAGAAUGUGUUGGAUAUACGUGCAUCGUGUGCUGCUUCUUGAAAACCAGAGCAGAGGACUGCUUGGGAACACACCACCGGUCAGCGUCUGUGACGGAAGUCAUGUCCUUAGAAGUUACUGGAAAUAGGACAUGCCUGGAAUUUUGGCUGGAGUUUCCCAUUCUGGGCCUGCUGUGGUCUGAAACUCCUGUUCCCCCUGAGUUCAUAAGUUGGAGUCCUAAGCCCACGACGUGGUAUGAGGCUGUGUCCUUUGGAGAAGAUCAGGUCAGGAAGGGACCCACAUAAACGGGAUUGGUGCCUGAGAGCUGCCCGUCCUGGCCAGCUGAGGCCAUGGCCAGAGGUGCCGUCUGUGGACCAGGAAGCCACCCUCGUGGGGAACUGACUCCACGGGCACCUGGGUCCUGGACUCCCCAACUCAGGAACUGCGAGAAACGAACCUCCUUUGUUCAUCGGCUGCCCCAUUUAUGGUUCUAGUGUCAUGGGAGCCCAAACGGACUGAGAGGAAGUCCUCGUUCAUGGGAAAAGGCAGCCAUGGGUCCCGAAGGAAGUCAGGAACGCGUGUUAGCCGGUUGGCUGGCCCCGGACAUCGCAGGCAGGCCGGGCGGCUCAGCCUCGGGGCGCAGGCGGGCUCCAGAUCACCUCUCCCCCACUUCUCUCCCUCUCGUGGUUACUGACAGGGGGUGUGAGCUGCUUCCCAGGCGCUGCUGACAGACGUGGGGCUUCCCAGAGACACCCAU
Molecule: long non-coding RNA, 5398 nt
Organism: Sciurus carolinensis (gray squirrel)
Lineage: Eukaryota; Metazoa; Chordata; Mammalia; Rodentia; Sciuridae
Exons: 3
Source: RefSeq, a predicted model, not a curated record